GCUACUGCAGCUGCUCUAGCUGCUGUAGCUGCUCCAGCUGUUCCAGCUGUGGUUACCAAAGCUGGAGAAAUACAAACCCGAAGGAAAGAUGCUGUUGAAAUACAUGACUGGGAGCUGAGAAAGGUACCAAGUUCUGUAUCUCUAGUGAUAAAUGUACUGUACCAAGCCCCACCUACCUCUUCAGAUGAAGAUAUGCAUGAAGAGGAGGAGGAGGGAGCAGUGGUGGAGGUGGAGGCGGCAGAG
Onychomys torridus (southern grasshopper mouse) is the source of this 243-nucleotide long non-coding RNA. RefSeq lists it as uncharacterized. Lineage: Eukaryota; Metazoa; Chordata; Mammalia; Rodentia; Cricetidae. The record is from RefSeq and is a predicted model, not a curated record. The transcript has 3 exons.